ACCGAGCUGAAGAUUCCCGAAUAGGACGAAACGCGCGUUCUGGAU
Molecule: non-coding RNA, 45 nt
Filed under: Schistosoma bovis
Lineage: Eukaryota; Metazoa; Platyhelminthes; Trematoda; Strigeidida; Schistosomatidae
Also listed under: 1 other name
Source: RNAcentral